GGAGUGUGAAGCGGCGCGAGGAUGGAAAUAAUGCGUCUAUAAGUCAUGACUAAGUUUUGAAGCAGGAAUAUCUGGAGGAGUAUCAGCUAAACUGAGAUCUGCUGUGAAGAUGGUGUUUGUUAAAGAGGAGAGAGAGGAAGACAUGAGUGAACCAGAAACCUGGAAAAUAAAACACGAGAAACCAGAACCAUGGGGAAUAAAACAGGAGGAAACAGAACCCAGGAGAAUAAAACAGGAGGAACCAGAAACCUGGAGAAUAAAACAGGAGGAACCAGAAACCCGGAGAAUAAAACAGGAG
Long non-coding RNA from Onychostoma macrolepis, 298 nucleotides. RefSeq lists it as uncharacterized. The record is from RefSeq and is a predicted model, not a curated record. Lineage: Eukaryota; Metazoa; Chordata; Actinopteri; Cypriniformes; Cyprinidae. The transcript has 2 exons.